This 4120-nucleotide unclassified non-coding RNA is filed under the name Polistes fuscatus (common paper wasp). RNAcentral's name for it is "death-associated protein kinase 1-like, transcript variant X3". Lineage: Eukaryota; Metazoa; Arthropoda; Insecta; Hymenoptera; Vespidae. The record is from RNAcentral.
GCGUUUCGUACGAUACAGGUAUAUCGAUUGUGUGUGUAGGGUGGCCGGCAUGGAUGAAGGCCAGCGAAGGCCGUAGAAUGCCAUACGAUUUUCGUAACGGAUAUUCGGAAAACUCGUUGUUGUUCAAAUACAUCGAACAAUGAUCACAGACGUGAGAUGAUGCCUGGGAUGCCGAAUAAUUCUCAUCAACUGGUUACUUCUAACGGUGGCUCUGAAUGGGAUUCCUUGAUGGAAGUUCAUCAUGAACCAAUAGAAAAAAAUUAUGAGUUAUUAGAAGAAAUUGGAAAGGGUCAAUUUGCCAUAGUACGAAAAUGUGUAGAGAUAAAAACUGGAGCAUUAUAUGCCGCCAAAAUUAUGAGAAAAAGGAGAGUUGCCAGAGGAGUAGCUGCUGCAGAUAUUGCUCGAGAAGCUGGUCUUUUGGCACGAUUAAGACAUCCUAAUAUUGUUUCAUUGCAUAAAGUGAUAGAUACAGGCACAACAGUUGUAUUACUUUUAGAGUUGAUUUCUGGAGGAGAAUUAUUUCAUUGGACACCAUCGGGUGAAGUAGAUGCUGCUCAUGUGGUACGUCAAGUUUUAAUGGCACUUAGUCAUUUACAUUCUCAUCAGGUGGCUCACUUAGAUAUCAAACCUGAAAAUAUUCUUCUUUCAUCUCCUCCUCCUAUGCCAAGCAUUAAAUUAAUAGACUUAGGUCUUUCGCAUCGUUUGGUUCCUGGUUCAGAACACAGAGCGUUGUUUGGUACUCCUGAAUUUGUAGCACCAGAAAUUGUUAAUUAUGAACCAUUAAGUCUUGGUACUGAUCUUUGGGCGGUUGGCGUUCUUACAUAUAUUCUUUUGAGUGGUGCAUCACCAUUUUUAGGAGAGGAUAAACAAGAGACGUAUGCAAAUGUAGCAGCCUGUCAAUAUCAAUUUGAUAAUGAAUACUUUAGUAAUGUAUCAGAAAUUGCUAAAGAUUUUAUAAGAUCCUUGUUGAUCAAGGAUCCAAAAGAAAGAGGAAGUGCAGAAUCGUGCCUUAAACAUCCUUGGAUCCUUACGGAAUCUGAAGCAUCUAACGGACUUGGUGGAGCUAUGAUCAGUGCUGUCAAGCGUGGUUGCGUUGAAGCUGUCUCUCAAUUAUUGUUGCAAGGAGCCCCAUUGAACAUGAAAGAUUCUAAAGAAGAUACACUUUUACAUUUAGCUUGUGAGGCUGGAGAUGAAGGAAUGGUUACAUUAUUAAUAGAAAGUGGAAUAGAUUUGGAUACGCCAAAUAAAAAAGGCCUAACGCCAUUACAUGUGGCUGCUAGGCAUGGUAAUAUCAAUGUUGUUAGACAUUUGUGCCUUGCUGGUUGUGACGUUGAUAAGACGAAUCGUGGAAUACGCGCUGAUGUUACAGCAAUUAAAUAUGGUUAUCCAGAUAUUGCAAAUCUAUUAGACAAGCUUCGAAUACCAAGUCAACGUGAAAAUUAUAUUAAACAAUUGCAACCAACGCAUAGGCCAAUUGAUCGUUUACAUAUAAGACUUUUGGGACAUUGUGCAUCAGGAAAAUCUUCUUUAAUUAGUUCCUUGAAAUCUGGAAUUUUUAGUUUCGGUUUUUUUCGGAGAUCUAGAAGCCAAAAUUAUUCAACGAAGAAUAACUUUAUUCAGCGAGAGCCAAGUAUCGAAUUAGAUGUGACUAGUAAACAUGGUUCUCUUAGUUUUGAAUACAGUGAUAGUGAAUAUGAAGGUACACAAGGUGUAGAAUGGAGUCGUGGAAAUGUAGGAGGAGAAUGCGUAUUUUGGGAAUUAUGUGGCCGAGAAGAAUACUUAGCAUCUUACCAUUAUGUACUUAUAUUUCAGCAACCAGCAGUUCACCUUAUUACAGUUAGUCUUCGAGAACCACUUACUGUUCAACUUCAGCAAAUUAAAUUUUGGCUACGUUUUAUUGUAGAUCGAAUUGCGCCAAACAAUAUUGGGUUUGCUGGCAAAUGCAGUGAUAUAAAAGUAAUUUUAGUGGGUACUUAUGCGCCAGAGCCUUUAGCACCAAAUUCCAGUGGUGGUAGUCUUCUCGCACCACUUUUACCUUUUUUGAAAGAUUUUACAUUAAUUUUGGGGGAUGAGCCUCAAAUGGUAGCGGUGGAUGCAACCAAUCCUUCUAGCCCUGGUUUGAAGCUGCUCAGAUCUUAUUUAAAUAAUGCAAGGAUGGAGUUUCUUGAGGAUGGACCGGAAGUUGCAGAAAGUUUUCUCCGACGUGACACGCCGCGUGAAGCGGCCAUGUACGUGCCCCUGGCGAAUCUUGAUAAACAGAGUGCUUUGGUAUGGACUGGUCUUGCUGAAUCAUGGAGGACAUAUGUACAAUCUUUGGAAGUACCUCCAGUAAUGCUUACACAGGAUGAAUUUUUGAAUGAAAUCAGAAAAAUCAAUCCAUUGGUUUGCUUAGAGCAUUCCAAACAACUUGGAUUACAAUUACAGAAUUUAGGAGAAUGUUUACUUCUUCCUGGCGACUUAAUAGUUCUUAGUCCAGAAUGGUUUUGGCAAGAUGUUAUCAAUUGGCAAUUAUGUCUUGAUCUACGAGGUCGCUUUGGGGGACGUACUACAGGAGUUUAUACUUUAGAAGAUUUUCAGGCACGAUGUCCUUGUCCUGCGAGUCAAGCUCUACAAGCUUUACAGGCGGUUAAUUUGUGUGUUCCGUGUGAAGUAGAUGAUGAUGAAGUGGAAUAUGAAUUACCUUGCUUGAAUCUGGUGGAACGUCUUCCUGGUUUAUGGGAGCCAUGGAAAUCAUCUACGAAUUCGUUGCCACAUGCCGGUCUUCGUCUUUGUCCAGCAGAGGCUCCUUUAUACCAUUUAUCUCCGAUAUUUCCGCACUUACAAGCUCAAUUGCGAAAAAUUACUCAAACUUGGGAUCCAUCAAAUUCGGAUUUAUAUCAAUGGUGGAGAGGCUCAAAACUGUGUGUGGGUCCUUGCGAAAGUAUCGUAACAUUUGAAGAGGAGGAACAAAGCUGUAUAGAAAUUCGAGUACGAGGACCUUGUGGGUCUAGUGCUCAAUGUUUUGGACUUUUUAGUGUUAUUUUGGAUGCUGUUAAUGCUACUGUUGACUUGGUAGCACCUGGAAUGCUACUUGAGAAGCACUGGCUUAGUCCAAGUCAGCUUCAAGAAUAUAGCGACGUAAUACAUUCUUGGGAACCUGCAACAAUAGUGUCUGCUUUAAUAGAUAAAAACUUGGAAGAAGCUAUACUUAAAAAUCCAAUUAACAAUCAAGAAGAAAGUAUUUGGGACAUUGUUGGUUGUGGGUUGCCCAUGAUGGAGAAUUGUCUUCCGGGUACAAGACAACCUCUUAAGAGUAUAAAACCUGCUGUAAAAAGAAGAUUAGCUGAGAUGCUGGAUCCACCUGAUCAUCAUGGGAGAGAUUGGUGUCUUCUUGCCGUUAGAUUGGGUUUAGGAGAUCGAGUUGCACAAUUGGACAGUACAGUGGACAGUCCGACGCUUAGGUUACUUAAUUGUGCAGGCAUGGAUUGUACUGUUAGUUCUCUUAUACAACAGUUACGUGCACUCGAUCGUGGAGAUGCUGUGCAUCUCUUGCUUUCUCACACGCCAGUGUAUAUUUUAUCAAUGGCUAUUGACUCUGAAACAGGGUCUAAUCUUUCUAGAUGACGAUGCUGCGCUUAUCGCCGAUGCAUCAAUACUUUCUAGAUUAAAAACCAAAUUUUUACAUACUGCAGCACUUGAAAUUGCCAAAGCAUCACUAUUUCCGCCCGUUAUAAAUGUUGUAUUAAUUAUCUGGAUUUAAGGAUGUACGCGAUUACAUCUUCAAUCAGUAAACUAUACUUUUUAAAGGUACAGAUAAAACGUUUGUCUUUAUACAACAUUCGUGUCAUGUUCAUUGCAUUGACAUAAAUAUAUAAUAGGUAUUAUAUGUAUUAUACAGUAUUGCUGUAGAUUAUUUAAAGAAAUCUUAUUUCUCUAAAUUGCAUUCUAACGCAUUAGUAUACAAAUUUUUCUGCAUCAUGUUAUCAUUCUUUACAAUGCUAUAAAAAAAGAAUCAGUCUUUUUGAAGGCAGGAAAACAAAUCAAUAUGCUACAUAUCUAGCCAAAAACAGAAGUACCAUUAUAAUACCCGGGAUAAUUAUAUCCAUGAAUAUUUCUAAAUGAUAUGCGUUAACAUCAAAAA